Rhododendron vialii is the source of this 1436-nucleotide long non-coding RNA. RefSeq lists it as uncharacterized. The record is from RefSeq and is a predicted model, not a curated record. Lineage: Eukaryota; Viridiplantae; Streptophyta; Magnoliopsida; Ericales; Ericaceae. The transcript is spliced from 3 exons.
CAUUUUCUAAUCAUUGGUCUAUUGCCCUAACACUUUACACGUUCCCUAACAUAUCCCCUCCCUUAAUUUUGUUUCCUUUUCCCAAACUAAUCAAUUGACCCGCAACCGAAACGUUCAAUAAUGUAAAUUAUGUUUCCUUUUCCGAAACUAAUCAAUUUUGUUUCCUUGCCAGUUCUCUCUCCCUCACGCCUCCUCUCUUCUCUCUCUCUCUCUCUCAAAUCCCCUCCUUCACUCACUCAAUCGUCUCUGUCCCCCACACCCACCACCACCGACCUACUCACUGACCCACAACCGUCGCGCCACCACCACCAACAGACUCAUCUCUUUCUUCCCCUGCCUACUUCGACCCAUACCUACUUCGACGAAUAAGGAUCAAGUUAGGCUAUUGACUACCUUUCAUGAUUACUAACUAUUUGAUAAAAGGCCACAAUGAACAUUGAAGGUAUUACAAACUGUGUUGUGCCCAAUCACGCACGAAACAUGCAUAGGUACUCUACAAAGGUAAGUCCGAGCAGUUAUCAGACAAUGGAAGCUUCACAAGUUUCUAUCCAAGAAAAUUUGGAGGAAGAUGGGAUGAGAAGUUAGGGGUCUGGAUUCUCCUUUCAAGGUUGAUUAUGGAUUCUCCUCUACUGCCUUUAAUCUGGUAGCGUAUUUUAACAAUUAACUUGAAACAAUAUGGUUGUCAAAUGAAAUAUCAUGUGUCAAAAUACUUCUGGUGUGGGUUUGCAUUAGCAGCCUUUUUCAAAUAUGGCAUGAUUCUGGGGGCUAAAAAUUGGAUGUUUCAUCUAUAUCAAUGAGUUUAGUUUGAAUCUUUUAGAUGAUUUAGCUCUCAUUGGAAAUUGCAAACAAUGACUUAGGUUCUCUUUUCUUUUCUUUUUCUUUUCUUAUUUUUGUAGAGUUGUAUGAGUGGUACUAAACUAACGCUGCUUCUAAUAUGCCAUUUCUUGGCAUCAGAAAUUGUUCCUUGUUCACAAUAUAAAAUUGGUUUGGAGUUUCAUGAGCCAUAUUUCAGUUUCACGAAACAAAUUUUUAUGAAGCAUAUUAUAGUUUUAGCUUAUCUUGUUUUCUUUGAAAAGGUAACUCGAGUGUUCAAGAAAAAAGAAGGUAAAAUCCCUCUUCACAAGCAAAGAGUGCAACAUGCCUUCCCUUUAACCACAAAAGUGCCAAGUGUCUGAAUCAUGGGUUACAAAACACAGAGCAAGCUAUGCCCGGAAAAAAAAAAAAAAAAAAACUGUGUAUGUGGUGUUCACGAUGUAAUUAAUGUUAUGGUGGAGUUUCUAUUGAUUCAAUGUCUACCAUCGAGGUAGCAAGGCUCUAGAUGAUGAUUGUCCUGCAUUCAUUACUUCUCUUCAUUCGGGAAGUUCUCAGCUAUUUUUUUCGGCUCCAAGUUCUUUCCAAUUGUAGUGUUUAUUUUUUAAGUGCUCUUUCUUUGUUUC